Molecule: ribosomal RNA, 253 nt
Filed under: uncultured bacterium
Lineage: Bacteria
Description: partial 16S ribosomal RNA
Rfam family: Bacterial small subunit ribosomal RNA
Source: RNAcentral
CACGUAGGGCGCAAGCGUUGUCCGGAAUUAUUGGGCGUAAAGAGCUCGUAGGCGGUCUGUUACGUCUGCUGUGAAAACCCAGGGCUUAACCCUGGGCUUGCAGUGGAUACGGGCAGACUAGAGGCAGGUAGGGGAGAAUGGAAUUCCUGGUGUAGCGGUGAAAUGCGCAGAUAUCAGGAGGAACACCAAUGGCGAAGGCAGCACUCUGGGACGUGACUGACGCUGAGACGCGAAAGCGUGGGGAGCAAACAGG